RNAcentral lists this ribosomal RNA (390 nucleotides) under uncultured bacterium. RNAcentral's name for it is "bacterial SSU rRNA". It matches the Rfam family "Bacterial small subunit ribosomal RNA", at positions 32 to 417 of the family's 1533-position model. The record is from RNAcentral.
AAUCAACGCUGGCGGCGUGCCUAACACAUGCAAGUCGAGCGAGAAAGGGGCUUCGGCCCUGAGUAAAGCGGCGCACGGGUGAGUAACACGUGGGUAAUCUGCCCUAGAGUGGGGAAUAACAUCGGGAAACCGAUGCUAAUACCGCAUACGAUCACGAGGUCUUCGGAUUUUGUGAUGAAAGGAGAAAUCCGCUCUUGGAGGAGCCCGCGGCUGAUUAGCUAGUUGGUAAGGAACGGCUUACCAAGGCAACGAUCAGUAUCCGGUCUGAGAGGACGGUCGGACACACUGGAACUGAGACACGGUCCAGACUCCUACGGGAGGCAGCAGUGGGGAAUCUUGCGCAAUGGGCGGAAGCCUGACGCAGCAACGCCGCGUGAGGGAAGACGGCCU